GGUGCGUAACGCGUAUGCAACCUACCUUAUACAGGGGAAUAACCUUUCGAAAGGGAGACUAACACCCCAUAGUAUUGAUUUAAGGCAUCUUAGAUUAAUUAAAUAUUUAUAGGUAUAAGAUGGGCAUGCGUAUGAUUAGCUAGUUGGUAAGGUAACGGCUUACCAAGGCGACGAUCAUUAGGGGUUCUGAGAGGAAGGUCCCCCACACUGGUACUGAGACACGGACCAGACUCCUACGGGAGGCAGCAGUGAGGAAUAUUGGUCAAUGGGCGCAAGCCUGAACCAGCCAUGCCGCGUGCAGGAAGACGGCCUUAUGGGUUGUAAACUGCUUUUACAUAAGACUAACCGUAUAUUUGCGAAUAUACCUGAAUGUAUUAUGAGAAUAAGGAUCGGCUAACUCCGUGCCAGCCGCCGC
Molecule: ribosomal RNA, 415 nt
Filed under: uncultured bacterium
Lineage: Bacteria
Description: bacterial SSU rRNA
Rfam family: Bacterial small subunit ribosomal RNA
Source: RNAcentral